RNAcentral lists this ribosomal RNA (793 nucleotides) under uncultured bacterium. RNAcentral's name for it is "bacterial SSU rRNA". It matches the Rfam family "Bacterial small subunit ribosomal RNA", at positions 104 to 909 of the family's 1533-position model. The record is from RNAcentral.
GGGUGAGUAACACGUGGGUAAUCUGCCCUGCACUUCGGGAUAAGCCUGGGAAACCGGGUCUAAUACCGGAUAUGACCUCGGGACGCAUGUCCCGAGGUGGAAAGCUUUUGCGGUGUGGGAUGGGCCCGCGGCCUAUCAGCUUGUUGGUGGGGUGAUGGCCUACCAAGGCGACGACGGGUAGCCGGCCUGAGAGGGUGUCCGGCCACACUGGGACUGAGAUACGGCCCAGACUCCUACGGGAGGCAGCAGUGGGGAAUAUUGCACAAUGGGCGCAAGCCUGAUGCAGCGACGCCGCGUGGGGGAUGACGGCCUUCGGGUUGUAAACCUCUUUCAGCAGGGACGAAGCGCAAGUGACGGUACCUGCAGAAGAAGCACCGGCCAACUACGUGCCAGCAGCCGCGAUAAUACGUAGGGUGCGAGCGUUGUCCGGAAUUACUGGGCGUAAAGAGCUCGUAGGUGGUUUGUCGCGUUGUUCGUGAAAACCGGGGGCUUAACCCUCGGCGUGCGGGCGAUACGGGCAGACUAGAGUACUGCAGGGGAGACUGGAAUUCCUGGUGUAGCGGUGGAAUGCGCAGAUAUCAGGAGGAACACCGGUGGCGAAGGCGGGUCUCUGGGCAGUAACUGACGCUGAGGAGCGAAAGCGUGGGGAGCGAACAGGAUUAGAUACCCUGGUAGUCCACGCCGUAAACGGUGGGUACUAGGUGUGGGUUUCCUUCCUUGGGAUCCGUGCCGUAGCUAACGCAUUAAGUACCCCGCCUGGGGAGUACGGCCGCAAGGCUAAAACUCAAAGGAA